RNAcentral lists this ribosomal RNA (374 nucleotides) under uncultured prokaryote. RNAcentral's name for it is "bacterial SSU rRNA". It matches the Rfam family "Bacterial small subunit ribosomal RNA", at positions 524 to 896 of the family's 1533-position model. The record is from RNAcentral.
UACGUAGGGUGCGAGCGUUAAUCGGAAUUACUGGGCGUAAAGCGUGCGCAGGCGGUUUGGUAAGACAGACGUGAAAUCCCCGGGCUUAACCUGGGAACUGCGUUUGUGACUGUCAGACUAGAGUGUAGCAGAGGGGGGUAGAAUUCCACGUGUAGCAGUGAAAUGCGUAGAUAUGUGGAGGAAUACCGAUGGCGAAGGCAGCCCCCUGGGCUAACACUGACGCUCAUGCACGAAAGCGUGGGGAGCAAACAGGAUUAGAUACCCUGGUAGUCCACGCCCUAAACGAUGUCAACUAGGUGUUGGGGAAGGAGACUUCUUUAGUACCGCAGCUAACGCGUGAAGUUGACCGCCUGGGGAGUACGGUCGCAAGAUUA